AGAAGAUGUAGGGCAUUUGGC
Molecule: small nuclear RNA, 21 nt
Filed under: Arabidopsis thaliana (thale cress)
Lineage: Eukaryota; Viridiplantae; Streptophyta; Magnoliopsida; Brassicales; Brassicaceae
Description: snRNA_11735
Source: RNAcentral